GCAAUGGACGAAAGUCUGACUGGAGCAACGCCGCGUGAGUGAAGAAGGUUUUCGGAUCGUAAAACUCUGUUGUUAGGGAAGAACAGAGUGCCGGUCGAAUAGGGCGGCACCUUGACGGUACCUAACCAGAAAGCCACGGUUAACUACGUGCCAGCAGCCGCGGUAAUAAA
RNAcentral lists this ribosomal RNA (170 nucleotides) under uncultured bacterium. RNAcentral describes it as "partial 16S ribosomal RNA". It matches the Rfam family "Bacterial small subunit ribosomal RNA", at positions 368 to 527 of the family's 1533-position model. The record is from RNAcentral.